This 322-nucleotide ribosomal RNA is filed under the name uncultured eukaryote. RNAcentral's name for it is "partial 18S ribosomal RNA". It matches the Rfam family "Eukaryotic small subunit ribosomal RNA", at positions 1470 to 1796 of the family's 1831-position model. The record is from RNAcentral.
CCCUUAGAUGUUCUAGGCCGCACGCGUGCUACACUGAGUGGAUCAGCGGGUCAGGUUGCGCGAAAGUGUUUCCUAAUCUUUAAAUCCGCUCGUGAUGGGGAUUGACGGUUGCAAUUUUCCGUCAUGAACGAGGAAUACCUUGUAAGCGCGGGUCAUCAUCCCGCGCUGAAUACGUCCCUGCCCUUUGUACACACCGCCCGUCGCUCCUACCGAUUGAGUGGUCCGGUGAGGCUUUGGGAUCUGAGCGGAAAGAGCGUUUCGCUGUUUCUGCUCGGAAAACUCAGUCGAACCUUAUCAUUUAGAGGAAGGAGAAGUCGUAACA